CCAGCUCCAAUAGCGUAUAUUAAAGUUGUUGCAGUUAAAAAGCUCGUAGUUGAAUUUCUAGUGCAGGCCGCUGCGUCCGCCUCACGGUGUGACACGGCGACUGCGCUCUCCUCGCCAGGAAGGCGUCGUCCUUCAUUGGGCGGCGCUGGACUGGCGUCCUUUACUGUGAAAAAAUUAGAGUGUUUAAAGCAGGCUUCUCGCUUGAAUACAUUAGCAUGGAAUAAUGAGAUAGGACUUCGGUGCUAUUUUGUUGGUUGCGUACCGAGGUAAUGAUUAAUAGGGACAGUUGGGGGUAUUCAUAUUUAACUGUCAGAGGUGAAAUUCUUGGAUUUGUUAAAGAUGAACAACUGCGAAAGCAUUUACCAAGGAUGUUUUCA
Molecule: ribosomal RNA, 377 nt
Filed under: uncultured Bicosoecida
Lineage: Eukaryota; Bigyra; Bicosoecida
Description: SSU rRNA
Rfam family: Eukaryotic small subunit ribosomal RNA
Source: RNAcentral